This is a non-coding RNA of Ameiurus melas (black bullhead), 74 nucleotides long. The record is from the annotation of a GenBank genome assembly. Lineage: Eukaryota; Metazoa; Chordata; Actinopteri; Siluriformes; Ictaluridae.
GGCAGUGGUAGCUUCGUGGUUAUAUCCUUGGAUUACUGAUCAGAAGGUUGAGAGUUCAAAUCCCAGCGCUGCCA